CCUACGGGAGGCAGCAGUAGGGAAUCUUCCACAAUGGACGAAAGUCUGAUGGAGCAACGCCGCGUGAGUGAAGAAGGGUUUCGGCUCGUAAAGCUCUGUUGGUAGUGAAGAAAGAUAGAGGUAGUAACUGGCCUUUAUUUGACGGUAAUUACUUAGAAAGUCACGGCUAAAUACGUGCCAGCAGCCGCGGUAAUACGUAGGUUGCAGGCGGUGUCCGGAUUUAUUGGGCGUUAAGCGAGUGCCGGCGGUUCAAUAAGUCUGAUGUGAAAGGCUUCGGCUCAACCGGAGAUUUGCAUCAGAAACUGUUGAACUUGAGUGCAGAAGGGGAGAGUGGAACUCCAUGUGUAGCGGUGGAAUGCGUAGAUAUAUGGAAGAACAUCAGUGGCGAAGGCGACUAUCUGGCACAUAACUGACGCUGAGGAGCGAAAGCGUGGGUAGCAAACAGGAUUAGAUACCCGGGUAGUC
RNAcentral lists this ribosomal RNA (465 nucleotides) under uncultured bacterium. RNAcentral describes it as "partial 16S ribosomal RNA". It matches the Rfam family "Bacterial small subunit ribosomal RNA", at positions 338 to 795 of the family's 1533-position model. The record is from RNAcentral.